This 87-nucleotide transfer RNA is filed under the name Flavobacteriaceae bacterium CG1_02_35_72. Its description in RNAcentral is "tRNA-Ser". It matches the Rfam family "tRNA". From Rfam's summary of the family: Transfer RNA (tRNA) molecules are approximately 80 nucleotides in length. Their secondary structure includes four short double-helical elements and three loops (D, anti-codon, and T loops). Lineage: Bacteria; Pseudomonadati; Bacteroidota; Flavobacteriia; Flavobacteriales; Flavobacteriaceae. RNAcentral also lists the same sequence under 7 other names. The record is from RNAcentral.
GGAGAGUUGGCCGAGUGGUUUAAGGCGCAUGUUUCGAAAGCAUGAUUACAAGUAAUUGUAACAGGGGUUCGAAUCCCUUAUUCUCCG